AUUUUUUAAAAUCCUGUUUGGAUUGUGUCAUGAAUCACAUAUGGUGUUUAUCAAUUUAAAAGAUAAUUUUACAAGUCAAGAAAUUCGCAUUUUGUCACAAAACUAAUGACGUACAGUCUCGUUAGUGACGUCGUCUCGUUUUAAACCCGUUAUUUAAACAUUGUAGAGUUGGUCCUGUAUAUUAGCAGCUCACAGAACUGAUGAACUUCCCUUUUGUAUAACUUGUUGUCAUUAUGCACAGAUUUAUUGUGGUUUUCAGUUCAGUUUUUCUGUGUCGGGGCGGCGGCCAUGUUGGUGUUGAUGGCGAAUGGGAGGAUCUAUCGGCCUCCUUCUUCUGCUUCUCCUUCUCCCUCAGCUCCUGCUGAGUGUCUCUGAGUUGAGCUGUCAGAGAGGAAACCAUCUGACUGUGACUCUGCUGCUGGCUCUGAGCUGUGGUGAGUUUGGUGACCUCUUCACACAAGGUGGUGCUGAUUCCCUCUCUUUCCUCCAACAAGGCUGUCGGCUGAGCUCCACCCCCAGUCAACCCCUGACCAAUCAGAGAGUCAGAGAGAGCCUGGAGGAAAAUGACAUGUUACCUCAGAGUCUCCAGGGCAGCCUACAGAAAGGUCAGAGGUUGAAUCCACUGUGGCAUCACAAUAUUCUGCAAUUACAACUUUACAACAUCAGCUGUUUCAGAGAAUGUUGCAACUCUGUUCUGCUGUGUAGCAUGGAGAAAUGGGCCUCCACAGCUCCUGACCCCUGAGAACCACUGGUUGGGAACCAGCUUCACUGUCAGUAUCCAUGAUAGGAACGACGGAAGAGAAAGUCAUUAAGGCUCGUUAAAACAGUGUGUGCAUGAAUUGUAAUCGAGGACAACGAUACCUGGACUGCCACGGUGUGAUGACGCCAUCGUCUGGUCCUCCAAUAAGCACGAGCUUCUUGAUGCGCAGGAAGUUUCCCCUCCACGCUGAGGAGGAUGUGCAGGUUCUCCUCAACUUCUCAGAUCUCUGCAGAACUCCCUCCUCGUUCUCACCGUUCCAGUAGUCACAGAUAGACACUUUCUGUCCUAAUCUGUUGUAGCAAACACGGAACACUGUCCUCUUCAAGUAUUUAGGAAACACCCACCGCAGGUAGUCUGUGUCUGUGGGAUAAGAUGGCGAGAAAUUCACUGUAUUACAAACUCCCCCGGAGGACAAAGUCAUCUGGACAUGCUUCAAACAUAAAGUGAAGCUCUCUGACCUCCGUACUGUCCAGCCUGCGGUGACGACAGCGAGAUGAAGGUGUGAACGUUGUGGUCUGGCAUCGUGGAGACCAGUGCUCGACAAAUUAGACCGCCUUAGAAAGAAAGAAGGAGAUGACACAAGUUCAGCUGGACAGAAGAUUGUAAUUUUUCGACUUUUCCCCUCCAGUAUUAAACAAUCUACAGCCACCAUCGUCAAACAUUUUUAUAAUUGGUUAUAGAGCUUCAUUCUCAUUAUCGAUCUAAUCUGCCCUUUAAUUUCACAAUCAGUCUAUUCAUAGUUCAGUCAAUAACACGUCAAAAAAGAUGUGAGACUUGCUCGUCACGGUUUCUCAGAGUCCAAGCUGACGUCUUUAAAUCACCUCUUUUGUUCAACCAACUUCCAAAACCCAAAGAUUCUUAAUUUACUGAAGAAAAACAGCAAAUCCUCACAUUUAAAUAAACUGCAACCAACAAAUGUUUGAUACUAAUAUUACUAAUCAAAUUAAUAAAGGCUGAAUUCGAAUGAGCUGCUUUGGGUUUAGGGGUCCUGACACUGUGAAAGCCGGCUCAGUAUCACAAGGUUACGGCUGACUGGUGCUUACUUUAAAAAAGGACAACUGGUCACAGCUGCAGUACACACAGUGUUUACACAAGAAGAAGUACAGAUAUGAAAAGAAAUAAAAGAAUAAAAGUAAAACGUAUCCCUCUGUGGGACAUUUCUACCGGCCACUUCUGUGCAAAGCUGACUGAAGCUCACGUCAUAUCAAUAAUUCAAAGACUAUCAAACUUAAAGGUAGAAUGAGUUGGAUUUGUCUAGAAAGAUAGUUGAUUGUUGAGUUUCAUUCCCAGGACGUCAAAUACCGACAUUAUGGGCUGGUAAAGCAUCCUGGGCGCAGCAUCUUUUACAUUGUUUUGUGUUGCUAUGCGCGUGAUACACACUGAUCAGUCUCGUGAUGUUGGAAAGGCGGUGUUGACGCAAUGACGCAAAAAAAAUUAAAAAAUCAUCAAUAAUCUCUUGAAAUGCAUUAAAAUAAAAGCAACAAGCCUGAUAAUGAAAAUGUAAGUGGUGGAAACGACACAUAGUUGUGUUCAAAUGGAGGGAGGGAGGAAAAGCAAAAAGUUGUCAGGAAACUAAAAGCUCAAGUAAAGUACAGAUACCUGGAAAAAUCUACUGAAGUACAGUAACAAAGUAUUUGUACUUCUCCUCUGGUCCAGUCUGACGCUGAAAUAUUGACAAUCCUGUUUAGAAUAUGUUUUCUUCAUACAUUGCAUAAGACAUGAACAUGAAAAUGAGAUGUAAAGCUGUGAGCCAACUGGGUUUAAACAAAGUGACUUAUCUUGGUGCUACAAGUGUGGAAGAGGAAGUUGAAGGCCUGUGGUAUAAUGAUAUAUAUAUAGAGAGAUGUGUGUGUGUGUGUGUGUGUGUGUUUGUAAAUCAAGCAGGAGAGACCUUGUCAAAGCCUGAUAAGACAAUAUGCUGUUCUUAUACACUGUUGUUUCGUUAAUCUGACCUUCAUUAAACGGACACUCUGUCCCCUCUCGCUC
Molecule: long non-coding RNA, 2746 nt
Organism: Acanthopagrus latus (yellowfin seabream)
Lineage: Eukaryota; Metazoa; Chordata; Actinopteri; Spariformes; Sparidae
Exons: 7
Source: RefSeq, a predicted model, not a curated record